UAAACCGGAGGAAGUGGGGAUGACGUCAAGUCAGCAUGGCCUUUAUAUCCUGGGCUACACACACGCUACGAAUGGGAAGGGACAAUAGGUUGCGAAGCCGCGAGGCGGAGCCAAUCCAGCAAAACUUCCCUCAGUUCAGAUUGCAGGCUGCAACUCGCCUGCAUGAAGUUGGAGUUGCUAGUAAACGCAGGUCAGCCAUACUGCGUUGAAUACGUUCCCGGGGCUU
RNAcentral lists this ribosomal RNA (226 nucleotides) under uncultured Anaerolineaceae bacterium. RNAcentral's name for it is "partial 16S ribosomal RNA". It matches the Rfam family "Bacterial small subunit ribosomal RNA", at positions 1159 to 1382 of the family's 1533-position model. Lineage: Bacteria; Bacillati; Chloroflexota; Anaerolineae; Anaerolineales; Anaerolineaceae. The record is from RNAcentral.